RNAcentral lists this ribosomal RNA (591 nucleotides) under uncultured bacterium. Its description in RNAcentral is "bacterial SSU rRNA". It matches the Rfam family "Bacterial small subunit ribosomal RNA", at positions 97 to 702 of the family's 1533-position model. The record is from RNAcentral.
GGCGGACGGGUGAGUAACGCGUAAGGAACUUGCCUCUUGGACUGGGACAACUGUUGGAAACGACAGCUAAUACCGGAUAUUAUGAGAUUCUCGCAUGAGAAACUUAUGAAAGCUAUAUGCGCCAAGAGAGAGCCUUGCGUUCCAUUAGCUAGUUGGUGGGGUAACGGCCCACCAAGGCGACGAUGGAUAGCCGGCCUGAGAGGGUGAACGGCCACAAGGGGACUGAGACACGGCCCUUACUCCUACGGGAGGCAGCAGUGGGGAAUAUUGGACAAUGGGCCACAAGCCUGAUCCAGCAAUUCUGUGUGCACGAUGAAGGUCUUCGGAUUGUAAAGUGCUUUCAGUUGGGAAGAAGAAAGUGACGGUACCAACAGAAGAAGCGACGGCUAAAUACGUGCCAGCAGCCGCGGUAAUACGUAUGUCGCAAGCGUUAUCCGGAUUUAUUGGGCGUAAAGCGCGUCUAGGCGGAAAAAUAAGUCUGAUGUUAAAAUGCGGGGCUCAACUCCGUAUUGCGUUGGAAACUGUUUUUCUAGAGUACUGGAGAGGUGGGCGGAACUACAAGUGUAGAGGUGAAAUUCGUAGAUAUUUGUA